RNAcentral lists this ribosomal RNA (1704 nucleotides) under Triticum aestivum (bread wheat). RNAcentral's name for it is "partial small subunit ribosomal RNA". The record is from RNAcentral. Lineage: Eukaryota; Viridiplantae; Streptophyta; Magnoliopsida; Poales; Poaceae.
AUGCAGGAUCACCUGGCGCUCCCCAAUAUCGCGCGUAUCCUCAUGGAGGAGGACGAUGACAUUGACGAAGACAACCCUGCACUCCUCAAAGCCCAGCGACCCUUUGCCCAAAUCCUAUCUUCCAGCAUGCAUGCCUCCACCUUAACGGCAGACCAAGGUGGCGCCUUGGCCAGCGACAUGCACUCUCUCAGCUCAGGCAUCUUGAAGUUCAAGGGUGUUGAUGAGGUCCGCAGCUUGCUGUUGCUCGCCAAUGGAGAGUUCAGCACUGACAUCUUUAGCACUGCUUUCCUCAAGGGCAUGGAAGAGGCGAAGAAGUUCUUGCCCACAAACAGUGAGCUGACGACCACCGGUGAGCAGGACCAACCGAAGGAGAAAAGCAGCAGGGGCCGCAAGGACUGGAGCAACGAGGUGGAGGCUGAUGUCAGUAGGACGGACAGAUUGGUCGAAGCUGGUGCCUGCGAGGUGUUCGACUUCAAUCAAAUGUGCAGUUCCAUGGACAAUGAGACUGGGAACAGUAACAAGAAGGGGAGAAAGAGCAAGGCACGGGUGAUUGACCUGCACACGCUGCUGAUCCACUGUGCCAAGGCGGUGAUGGAUGACCGCCGGAGGGCAGGUGAGUUGCUCAAGGAGAUCCAGCAGCAUGCCUCACCCACUGGUGACGCAACACAGCGGCUUGCCUACUGGUUCGCUGAGGGGCUGGAGGCACGGCUCACUGGCACAGGCAGCCAAGUGUAUGGGACGCUUACGGCUAAGGGCACCUCUGCUGUGGCACACUCAGAGGCUUACCAAGAAUUCAUUUCAGCAUGCUGCUUCAGGAAUGUAUCCUUCUUGUUCGCCAACAGGGCCAUCUUCAAUGCGGCAGUGGGGAGGAGCAGGUUGCACAUUGUUGAUUAUGGCUUUCGUUAUGGAUUCCAGUGGUCAGAACUGCUGCGCUGGCUGGCAGCAAGGGAUGGUGGCCCACCAGAGGUCAGGAUCACGCACAUUGACCUCCCACAGCCCGGAUUCCACCCAGAAAAACAUAUGAAGGAGAUCGAUUCUCGGCUGACUGACAUUGCCCGGGACCUUGGUGUGUCGUUCAAGUACCGUGCCAUUUUGGCGCAGUGGCAGACCGUUUCCAUCGAGGACCUGGACCUGGACCUGGAACCUGAUGAGGUGCUUGCUGUGAAUGACCUGUACAAUUUCAGGACCUUAAUGGAUGAGAGUGUCGUCAUAGGCAGCCCGAACCCCAGGGAUACUGUCCUCGGCAACAUCAGCAAGAUGAAACCGGACGUGUUUGUCCAAAGCACCGUGAAUGGCUCCUAUGGCACCUUCUUCUUGUCACGGUUCCGCGAGGCCCUCUUCUUUUACUCUGCACUGUUUGACAUGCUUGAUGCAACCAUGCCAAGGGAGAACAAACUGCGGCUGGCGCUGGAGCGCAACAUCUUUGGGUGGGUUGUCCUGAAUGCCAUUGCAUAUGAGGGAAAGGACCGGGUGGAGCGUUGUGAGACCUAUAAGCAUUGGCAAGUCAGAAACCAACGUGCAGGCCUGAGGCAGCUGCCACUGGACAGAGAAACUGUUAAGAUGGCUAGGGACAUGGUAAAGAACAAAUACCACAAGGACUUCCUCAUCGACGAGGACCAUCACUGGCUGCUGCAAGGGUGGAAGGGCCGCAUCCUCUUGGCUCACUCAACAUGGGAGGCAGACGGUGCUAGCUCCCACUGUUAA